Molecule: ribosomal RNA, 253 nt
Filed under: uncultured bacterium
Lineage: Bacteria
Description: partial 16S ribosomal RNA
Rfam family: Bacterial small subunit ribosomal RNA
Source: RNAcentral
UACGUAGGUGGCAAGCGUUGUCCGGAUUUACUGGGUGUAAAGGGCGUGCAGCCGGAGAGACAAGUCAGAUGUGAAAUCCACGGGCUCAACCCGUGAACUGCAUUUGAAACUGUUUCCCUUGAGUGUCGGAGAGGUAAUCGGAAUUCCUUGUGUAGCGGUGAAAUGCGUAGAUAUAAGGAGGAACACCAGUGGCGAAGGCGGAUUACUGGACGAUAACUGACGGUGAGGCGCGAAAGCGUGGGGAGCAAACAGG